GAGUGGCGGACGGGUGAGUAACGCGUGGGGAACCUGCCCCAUACCGGGGGAUAACAGCCGGAAACGGCUGCUAAUACCGCAUAAGCGCACAGUACCGCAUGGUACGGUGUGAAAAACUCCGGUGGUAUGGAAUGGACCCGCGUCUGAUUAGCCAGUUGGCGGGGUAACGGCCCACCAAAGCGACGAUCAGUAGCCGGCCUGAGAGGGCGACCGGCCACAUUGGGACUGAGACACGGCCCAGACUCCUACGGGAGGCAGCAGUGGGGAAUAUUGCACAAUGGGGGAAACCCUGAUGCAGCGACGCCGCGUGGAGGAAGAAGGUCUUCGGAUUGUAAACUCCUGUUGUUGGGGAAGAUAAUGACGGUACCCAACAAGGAAGUGACGGCUAACUACGUGCCAGCAGCCGCGGUAAAACGUAGGUCACAAGCGUUGUCCGGAAUUACUGGGUGUAAAGGGAGCGCAGGCGGGAAGACAAGUUGGAAGUGAAAUCCAUGGGCUCAACCCAUGAACUGCUUUCAAAACUGUUUUUCUUGAGUAGUGCAGAGGUAGGCGGAAUUCCCGGUGUAGCGGUGGAAUGCGUAGAUAUCGGGAGGAACACCAGUGGCGAAGGCGGCCUACUGGGCACCAACUGACGCUGAGGCUCGAAAGUGUGGGUAGCAAACAGGAUUAGAUACCCUGGUAGUCCACACCGUAAACGAUGAUUACUAGGUGUUGGAGGAUUGACCCCUUCAGUGCCGCAGUUAACACAAUAAGUAAUCCACCUGGGGAGUACGACCGCAAGGUUGAAACUCAAAGGAAUUGACGGGGGCCCGCACAAGCAGUGGAGUAUGUGGUUUAAUUCGACGCAACGCGAAGAACCUUACCAAGUCUUGACAUCCGUUGACCGACAUAGAAAUAUGUUUUUCCUUCGGGACAGCGAGACAGGUGGUGCAUGGUUGUCGUCAGCUCGUGUCGUGAGAUGUUGGGUUAAGUCCCGCAACGAGCGCAACCCUUAUGGUCAGUUACUACGCAAGAGGACUCUGGCCAGACUGCCGUUGACAAAACGGAGGAAGGUGGGGAUGACGUCAAAUCAUCAUGCCCUUUAUGACUUGGGCUACACACGUACUACAAUGGCGUUAAACAAAGAGAAGCAAGACCGCGAGGUGGAGCAAAACUCAAAAACUUGUCUCAGUUCGGAUUGUAGGCUGAAACUCGCCUACAUGAAGCUGGAGUUGCUAGUAAUCGCGAAUCAGCAUGUCGCGGUGAAUACGAUCCCGGGCCUUGCACUCACCGCCCGUCA
RNAcentral lists this ribosomal RNA (1279 nucleotides) under uncultured bacterium. RNAcentral's name for it is "bacterial SSU rRNA". It matches the Rfam family "Bacterial small subunit ribosomal RNA", at positions 93 to 1399 of the family's 1533-position model. The record is from RNAcentral.